This 301-nucleotide ribosomal RNA is filed under the name uncultured bacterium. Its description in RNAcentral is "partial 16S ribosomal RNA". It matches the Rfam family "Bacterial small subunit ribosomal RNA", at positions 509 to 809 of the family's 1533-position model. The record is from RNAcentral.
CAGCCGCCGCGGGAAUACCGAGGGUGCGAGCGUUAAUCGGAAUUACUGGGCGUAAAGCGCGCGUAGACGGUUUGGUAAGUCAGAUGUGAAAUCCCUGGGCUCAACCUGGGAACUGCAUUUGAUACUGCCUGGCUAGAGUAUCGAAGAGGGAAGUGGAAUUUCCGGUGUAGCGGUGAAAUGCGUAGAUAUCGGAAGGAGCACCAGUGGCGAAAGCGACUUCCUGGUCGAAUACUGACGUUCAUGUGCGAAAGCGUGGGGAGCAAACAGGAUUAGAUACCCCGGUAGUCCCUGUCUCUUAUAA